CAAUAUGAAGGUCAGGCUGAAGACCUUACCCGAUUAGCUGAGAGGUGGUGCAUGGCCGUCGUCAGUUCGUACUGUGAAGCAUCCUGUUAAGUCAGGCAACGAGCGAGACCCACGUCCACAGUUGCCAGCAUACCCUCCGGGGUGAUGGGUACACUGUGGAGACCGCCGCUGCUAAAGCGGAGGAAGGAGUGGGCAACGGUAGGUCAGUAUGCCCCGAAUCUCCCGGGCUACACGCGGGCUACAAUGGUUGGUACAAUGGGCAUCUACCCCGAAAGGGGAAGGAAAUCUCUUAAAGCCAAUCGUAGUUCGGAUUGAGGGCUGCAACUCGCCCUCAUGAAGCUGGAAUCCGUAGUAAUCGCGUUUCAACAGAACGCGGUGAAUACGUCCCUGCUCCUC
Molecule: ribosomal RNA, 396 nt
Filed under: uncultured Methanosaeta sp.
Lineage: Archaea; Methanobacteriati; Methanobacteriota; Methanomicrobia; Methanotrichales; Methanotrichaceae
Description: bacterial SSU rRNA
Rfam family: Archaeal small subunit ribosomal RNA
Source: RNAcentral